CUUCUUCAGCCUGCUGCGGGCAGAUCCAGUGAAUAUGCGUAUCUACACCGCCUGCGGUAACGAUCUUACCUUCGGCGGCGAUCACUUCGGUCCCAACGCCUAUCGGGAUCGUUACAUCGGGUUGAAUAUCCGGAUUACCCGCUUUGCCGACCGCGAAGAUCCUGCCAUUUUUUACCCCGAUAUCGGCUUUAACGAUCCCCCAGUGAUCGAUAAUCAGCGCGUUGGUCAGCACCAGAUCCACGCACUCGCUGGCCGGCAUUUGCCCCUGGCCCAUACCAUCGCGGAU
RNAcentral lists this small RNA (286 nucleotides) under Klebsiella sp. RIT-PI-d. RNAcentral describes it as "5' ureB small RNA". It matches the Rfam family "5' ureB small RNA". Lineage: Bacteria; Pseudomonadati; Pseudomonadota; Gammaproteobacteria; Enterobacterales; Enterobacteriaceae. The record is from Rfam by way of RNAcentral.